GAUGAACGCUGGCGGCGUGCCUAAUACAUGCAAGUCGAGCGAACGGACGAGAAGCUUGCUUCUCUGAUGUUAGCGGCGGACGGGUUAGUAACACGUGGAUAACCUACCUAUAAGACUGGGAUAACUUCGGGAAACCGGAGCUAAUCCCGGAUAAUAUUUUGAACCGCAUGGUUCAAAAGUGAAAUACGGUCUUGCUGUCACUUAUAGAUGGAUCCGCGCUUCAUUAGCUAGUUGGUAAGGUAACGGCUUACCAAGGCAACGAUGCAUAGCCGACCUGAGAGGGUGAUCGGCCACACUGGAACUGAGACACGGUCCAGACUCCUACGGGAGGCAGCAGUAGGGAAUCUUCCGCAAUGGGCGAAAGCCUGACGGAGCAACGCCGCGUGAGUGAUGAAGGUCUUCGGAUCGUAAAACUCUGUUAUUAGGGAAGAACAUAUGUGUAAGUAACUGUGCACAUCUUGACGGUACCUAAUCAGAAAGCCACGGCUAACUACGUG
RNAcentral lists this ribosomal RNA (497 nucleotides) under uncultured bacterium. RNAcentral's name for it is "partial 16S ribosomal RNA". It matches the Rfam family "Bacterial small subunit ribosomal RNA", at positions 28 to 507 of the family's 1533-position model. The record is from RNAcentral.